AGUGAACGCUGGCGGCGUGCUUAACACAUGCAAGUCGAACGAGAACGGAAUAUAGCUUGCUAUAUUUGUCAGCUAAGUGGCGCACGGGUGAGUAAUGUAUAGAUAACCUGCCCUAAGGAAGGGAAUAAAAGUUGGAAACAAUUGCAAAUGCCCUAAUUGCCUUAAAUAAAAAAGAAUGCAAGGGAAACGCUUUAGUGCUUAAGGAUGGGUCUGUAUGGUAUCAGCUUGUUGGUGAGGUAAUGGCUCCCCAAGGCUAUGACGCCUAACUGGUUUGAGAGGAUGAUCAGUCACACUGGAACUGAGACACGGUCCAGACUCCUACGGGAGGCAGCAGUGGGGAAUAUUGCACAAUGGACGAAAGUCUGAUGCAGCAACGCCGCGUGGAGGAUGACACAUUUCGGUGCGUAAACUCCUUUUAUAUAGGAAGAUAAUGACGGUACUAUAUGAAUAAGCACCGGCUAACUCCGUGCCAGCAGCCGCCGUAA
RNAcentral lists this ribosomal RNA (485 nucleotides) under uncultured bacterium. RNAcentral describes it as "partial 16S ribosomal RNA". It matches the Rfam family "Bacterial small subunit ribosomal RNA", at positions 29 to 523 of the family's 1533-position model. The record is from RNAcentral.